GACGAACGCUGGCGGCGUGCUUAACACAUGCAAGUCGAACGGUAAGGCCCUUCGGGGUACACGAGUGGCGAACGGGUGAGUAACACGUGGGUGAUCUGCCCUGCACUUCGGGAUAAGCCUGGGAAACUGGGGCUAAUACCGGCUAGGACCCCGGUAUGCAUGUCCUGUGGGGGAAAGCUUUUGCGGUGUGGGAUUGGCCCGCGGCCUAUCAGCUUGUUGGUGGGGUGAUGGCCUACCAAGGCGACGACGGGUAGCCGGCCUGAGAGGGUGACCGGCCACACUGGGACUGAGAUACGGCCCAGACUCCUACGGGAGGCAGCAGUGUGGAAUAUUGCACAAUGGGCGCAAGCCUGAUGCAGCGACGCCGCGUGAGGGAUGACGGCCUUCGGGUUGUAAACCUCUUUCAGCACCGACGAAGCGCAAGUGACGGUAGGUGCAGAAGAAGGACCGGCCAACUACGUGCCAGCCGCCGCAGUAA
This 478-nucleotide ribosomal RNA is filed under the name uncultured bacterium. RNAcentral's name for it is "partial 16S ribosomal RNA". It matches the Rfam family "Bacterial small subunit ribosomal RNA", at positions 28 to 523 of the family's 1533-position model. The record is from RNAcentral.